UCCGGGCCCUACGGGGCGCAGCAGGCGCGAAACCUUUACACUGCACGCGAGUGCGAUAGGGGGACUCCAAGUGCGAGGGCAUACAGUCCUCGCUUUUCACCACCGUAAGGAGGUGGUAGAAUAAGUGCUGGGCAAGACCGGUGCCAGCCGCCGCGGUAAUACCGGCAGCACGAGUGAUGACCGCUAUUAUUGGGCCUAAAGCGUCCGUAGCCGGCCGGGCAAGUCCAUCGGGAAAUCCGCACGCCUAACGUGCGGGCGUCCGGUGGAAACUGCUUGGCUUGGGACCGGAAGAUCCAGAGGGUACGUCUGGGGUAGGAGUGAAAUCCUGUAAUCCUGGACGGACCACCGGUGGCGAAAGCGCUCUGGAAAGACGGAUCCGACGGUGAGGGACGAAAGCUUGGGUCACGAACCGGAUUAGAUACCCGGGUAGUCCAAGCUGUAAACGAUGUCUGCUAGGUGUGGCACAGGCUACGAGCCUGUGCUGUGCCGUAGGGAAGCCGUGAAGCAGACCGCCUGGGAAGUACGUCUGCAAGGAUGAAACUUAAAGGAAUUGGCGGGG
Molecule: ribosomal RNA, 559 nt
Filed under: Halovivax sp.
Lineage: Archaea; Methanobacteriati; Methanobacteriota; Halobacteria; Halobacteriales; Natrialbaceae
Description: bacterial SSU rRNA
Rfam family: Archaeal small subunit ribosomal RNA
Source: RNAcentral